This 638-nucleotide unclassified non-coding RNA is filed under the name Hevea brasiliensis (rubber tree). Lineage: Eukaryota; Viridiplantae; Streptophyta; Magnoliopsida; Malpighiales; Euphorbiaceae. The record is from RNAcentral.
GAGAGAGAGAGAGAGAGAUCACUGACACCAUUAUCUAACAGAAUUAGUAAAGAAAUAAAAUAAAAUGAUGUGCUUUCUGUUAAUGUUCUCACGAAAAUCCCAGGAAACAGCAACAGAUGACCAAAAUCAAAUAACAAAGGAGGAAAAAAAAAAGGCCGGCUUAAUUACAAAUUUAUUAGUAAAGAAAAGACUACAGAAGGAUAUCAAAUAAAAAUUCCCAUAAGAAGUGAUAUAUAUGCAUUCUAGCUUAUACAACACAACCUUGACCCACAAAUGGCGAUUUGCAUGCACUGACUGCAAAGACCAAAAGAGAUGAUGAAAGUCAAACAAAGAAGGUAAUACAUUAGAACUCAGCUUUAAUAUUUCCCAUAUCAAGACCUAACAAUUCCAGAAUUUACCAAAGGAAUAUGUCUGCAUCAAAUAAUAUUCUUUUAAAAGAUAUUAAAACAAACAAAUGUAAAUAAAAGGAGAUAGUUUUAAGGUUUCCACUGAUAGAGAAUGCCCUAUUUGCAAUUACAGUUAUAAGUACCUUCGAAUCUGCUGUCUGGAAAGUAAGGGUGUUUGCAUUAACCAACAAGGUGUUUAAAUUAUUUUACCAGAAUGUGAAAAAGCAAUGUUAACCUAUCUAACCAAGUUGU